Non-coding RNA from Phalacrocorax carbo (great cormorant), 1012 nucleotides. The record is from RefSeq and is a predicted model, not a curated record. NCBI's taxonomy places the organism in Eukaryota, Metazoa, Chordata, Aves, Suliformes, Phalacrocoracidae.
CCCCCGGGUCCUGCGCGCGGCCUCCGCCCGAGCGCGCGGUGUUGGCGGCGGCGGGCCACCAAAACAAAUACAUGGAAAUAGAUUUUCUGAUCUGUUCUUAUAUGGUUCAAAUGUUCACAGUGAUGUAACUGCCUUAUUGAAGCCACAAAUUUAGUUUGCAUGCUUCAGCAAUGGCUUACCAGGAGCACUUAGAAUGACAAAAGCACAAGAAGAAAGACGUUGUUCAGAAGACAGGAAACCGAGGAAAGAGGAGCCCCACAGGAUUCAAAACCAGCUUCAAUGUGAGCUCUGUGAUGUCUCUUGCACAGGAGCAGGUGCAUGUGUGGCACAUAUCCGGGAGCCAUCAGAAGGCUAAUAAAAAUAGAGGGAACAAGCAACAAACUUGUGGAAGAGAAGGUGAUGAAACCAACAGCAGAGCUACAGCCAUCUCUGAAAAUACACCUGGAGGACUGCUGGAUGUACGGUCUGAUGUACAUGACCAUGUAGAAGAGGUUAACGUCUUUCCUCGCAAGAUAAAUUGUUAUAUGAACCUGGGCUGCAAGAUCCCUGCUAGAAAGGUAAGUUGACUGCUUUGGAGACUGAGAGCUGUCACCAGUGAGAGGACGCCACAGCCCAUGCACAGAUAGAGAAGACGAGCCGUUAACAACAGUUAAGGAGGACACUUUGGUAAAUGUUCCUGGCAGUGGUAUGCAGGAGAUCCCCACUGCAACUAACACUUCUGAACUACUGAGAGAUGCGGUCUGCUUUUUAAUGAUAGAAAUAUAAAUAGUAACACCAGAAGUUGUGUUGAUGUUGCUCACUUUUUAAUAAAGCAUCAAAGCAAGUGAAUAUUUCAAAUGAGAGUCCGGUUGUCUUUAAAUAUGAUGCUAUUUGUUUUAAAUGUGUCUAUCUGCCAUUGAGUCCUCUGUCACAUUUUUUAUUGCCUACGUGGAAAACCAUAGAACUUAUCGUAGCACAUAAAAUUCUACAUUGUGUAACUCAAGCCCUCUUCCAUUCUGUUUGGUUGUUCUUA